GACGAACGCUGGCGGCGUGCCUAAUACAUGCAAGUCGAACGCUUCUUUCCUCCCGAGUGCUUGCACUCAAUUGGAAAGAGGAGUGGCGGACGGGUGAGUAACACGUGGGUAACCUACCCAUCAGAGGGGGAUAACACUUGGAAACAGGUGCUAAUACCGCAUAACAGUUUAUGCCGCAUGGCAUAAGAGUGAAAGGCGCUUUCGGGUGUCGCUGAUGGAUGGACCCGCGGUGCAUUAGCUAGUUGGUGAGGUAACGGCUCACCAAGGCCACGAUGCAUAGCCGACCUGAGAGGGUGAUCGGCCACACUGGGACUGGGACACGGCCCAGACUCCUACGGGAGGCAGCAGUAGGGAAUCUUCGGCAAAGGACGAAAGUCUGACCGAGCAACGCCGCGUGAGUGAAGAAGGUUUUCGGAUCGUAAAACUCUGUUGUUAGAGAAGAACAAGGACGUUAGUAACUGAACGUCCCCUGACGGUAUCUAACCAGAAAGCCACGGCUAACUACGUG
RNAcentral lists this ribosomal RNA (508 nucleotides) under uncultured bacterium. Its description in RNAcentral is "partial 16S ribosomal RNA". It matches the Rfam family "Bacterial small subunit ribosomal RNA", at positions 28 to 507 of the family's 1533-position model. The record is from RNAcentral.